CUUUCUCUCUCUCUCUCUCUCUCUCUCCCUUUCUCUGUUUCUCUCUCUCUCGCUCUCUCCCUUUCUCUGUUUCUCUCUCUCAUUCGCUCUUCAAGUCUUGUCUUACUCUUCGGAUACACUUUUCCAUAGCUCAAGGUUACUUGUGUGAAUGUCUAUUUAUCACGUUUAGUUUUUCACGCCUCCUCCCACCUCAUGCCAUCACUAGUUAUUUUCUCAAUUGACUAUGGUCCUGUUCCCUAUUACUCCUGCUGAAACGCCACUUCCCCAACCAGAUGCUCGCACUCACAAAUUGUUUUCUCUUCCCAGAGAGCCAAAACGCCUCAGUCUGUGCCAGUACGACAACACUGGUGUCCGUUGUUUCUCUCCCUUUAGACUGUUCCAUGUAAACUCUAUUCUCCUUCACCACUACCAGCUUCCUCUCUCCCUGUGCGUCAGCCACGACAUUGCUGUUAUAUAGAUUUCACAUUCACAAGAACCCUGGCUUCCAAAUGAGAUUUCUAUUCUUCUAUCUUGUUGACUUUUUCCCUUUUCUUUCAUCAUCUCCAGCAAGGUUAUCCUGAGGCAGGCGGCGCUUUUAUGGAAACAAGGGGGCGUUGGCAGAGGGAUGAGGAGAUGGAGGAGAGGGGCUUCGCCGCCAGCCAUGCCAUAAUCGAUCUUGUUUAAAGGGAUGUAGUGAGCUGAAUGUUUGAACUCCUCUCCUCGUUAACAGUUGUCUGGGAUUUAAUUAAGAAGCCCAACGGAUUUAAUGUCAAUUCCAUUCCCCAAAUGAAGGAGGGAGAAAAGUCACAAAGAAAGAAAGAAAGAAAGGAGAGGCUCAUUAAAGGAGUUGCAUACAUCAUCCUAGUUGAAACAUGACCUUUUCUCUAGUUUAUUAUUUCUCUUUCCUCUUCCUGUCUCUCUUCCUGUCUCUGUAAGGGCCAUUAGCACACAUUGUCACAUCUUUUCUUUGCCGUUGGCGCACAAUAUGAGCAUAUGCAAAUGAGACAAAAUAAAGAUUUCAAUGACAUUGUCACUUUCUGGCUCCCAGUGAAUUUGUCAAGCGAAACAAGAUAUAAGGCCUGUUUCUCUACGAUUGAAGUGAUAAGCUCUUGACUUUAUAGAUUUUUUGGAAUGUCGGAAACCACAAUUAAUGCCAUCAUAUCAUCCUUACGCUGUAUCAUCAACAUGACACUGAAACAAAAGAAUGUGAAAAGAUAAAACAGACAACUCCACGGGAUGACCCACAUUAAAUACAACUUUAUUUAGGUCGGAGAACUUGUAGUUUGUUUAUGUAUAUAUAUAUAUAUAUAUAUAUAUAUAUCUGACGGUCAGUUCUGUUUCUAUUGUGUGCUGAGAGGACAAGCAUUGCCCUGUGGCCUAUGGAAGGCCAACUGUCCACAAGUCUGUUGGCACUCCAUUGGACAACAAUAAGACUGUCACCAUAACAACACUGGCCAUCCUACAGCAACAUUAUCUCUUCUUCCAACCAGCAGCACCCUCUGUUUGAGCAGCCAUAGAGGAGCACGGUGGAGUCUCAGUGAUAUAUUGCUGUUCAUUUGCGAGGAUGGGGUGAGGAUUGGAGUGAGGGACUGAGGAAGGUAGAGAGUCUGUACAUGUGACCCAGCAGUCAUAACAGUCCAGCAGUAUCUCUGUUAGUUUUGUAGUUGGCAGGAGGGGGUGGGGCUCCACCUCAAGGCGUUUUACUCCAUAUCUCCUCUGAAAGGUGUGUCCAGAUGUCUUAUCCAGAUGCUCUGCUACAGGGCUGAUGGAGGUGAGUGGGGCGUCAGUAGGUUAGGCAGGUUGGCACACCUCCAGGCCUAAGCCUGCUUUCCAGGAAGUCUUCUUGUCUUUAAUCUGACAGAUUGGAAGGAGGCUGAGGUAAAAUACUCGGAAAGCGGCGGGGGGGGUCAUGUCUCUGUAGCACUGCGAUGUGUGUGUGUUUGCGCCGGCAUGUGUGUGUUCUCACUGUGAGGGUUCAGUUGGCCUCACUGUUAAACCGAGAUUAGCCAGAUGAGCUCCGAGUUGGACGGGCGGGGAUAGAGGGAGAGAAAGAGAGAUGGAUGAGGACCUGCCCACAGUGGAGUUCAGCGCCAGGGCAGGGGAGGUAGCCCCGACACAGGAACAUGGGGGCAGAGAGGUUAGGGGAGCUGGCCAGGUCACAGUGAGAGGAGAGACACAGAGAGGAUAGGAGGGCUGGCCAGGUCACAGUAAGAGGAGAGACACAGAGAGGAUAGGAGGGUUGGUCAGGUCACAGUGAGAGGAGAGACACAGAGAGAAUAGGAGGGCAUGUUGUGGGUAGGGGGAAAGAGAGCACAGAUGGGCAGAGAGGAGUAAGAAGAGGAGUAGGAAGAGGAGUAGGAAGAGGAGUAAGAAGAGGAGUGGGAAGAGGAGUGGGAAGAGGAGUAGGAAGAGGAGUAGGAAGAGGAGUAGGAAGAGGAGUGGGAUGAGUUUAGGCCAAUGGCAGACUUCCACACACUAGUUGGUAAAUCCCAACAUUACAAACUGCGACAUGAGGCUAUACUUCCCUGCAUGCCAACUCUGAGAGGGACAGGGUCUUGCCAGCCACUACUUGCAUCAGUUUACUGUGAGACAGGGAACGUACUAUGCUUACAUGCACAAUUCUGUUGGAGUAUCUGGGUAUUCAGAUGAACUCUGUGGACCCCAGGAAGAGUAGCUGCUGCUUCUGCAAAAGCUAAUGGGGAUCCCAAUAAACAAACAAAUCAAGUGCACUUGGACUCCAAUAUGUUCUGAAUACUGUCUAGACUGUUUGCAUGCUUACUGCUGUAUAAUGAUAUUCCAUUGAUGGUUGCAUGAGGCACAUUUUCCCAAAAGGUAGCAAGCACUAACAACUAAUGCAGAGCAUUACAUCAUUUUUUGUCUUCAAUCACUUCCUUUCAUGUUUAAUUUGUUCCUAAGAGGUCCAAAACGGCCUCUUAACAAUUGCAAAUAUUCACCAGAAAGCUGUCAUGCAAACAACAGUAAUCUGAAUGUAAUGUUUACAUGCCAAAUACUGACAAAUUGUUUAGGAAAGGAGUAUUGUACACUCGUUCCACUUGAAAUUAGCUCAUUCAGAUUACUGGACUCUUGUCCAAUACGGGUGUUUACGUUUUUAAUUCAGACUCAUUGAAUUCCGACUAAUUCCAGAUUAUUAGUGUGCAUUUAAACACAGCAGGUGUGACUAUGAGGAUUGACUGUGACACAAGUGAUUAAACCAGACAGAUCUAUUUUA
Oncorhynchus tshawytscha (Chinook salmon) is the source of this 3208-nucleotide long non-coding RNA. NCBI's taxonomy places the organism in Eukaryota, Metazoa, Chordata, Actinopteri, Salmoniformes, Salmonidae. The record is from Ensembl.